Haemorhous mexicanus (house finch) is the source of this 2497-nucleotide long non-coding RNA. RefSeq lists it as uncharacterized. The transcript is spliced from 2 exons. Lineage: Eukaryota; Metazoa; Chordata; Aves; Passeriformes; Fringillidae. The record is from RefSeq and is a predicted model, not a curated record.
GCGGCGCUGAGGGAAGGCGGAGAAGGCAGCGCGGGUCGGGGCGGCCUCGCAGCCUUCUCGGGCGGAGGGCGGAUCCACCGCUCCCGUGGGCCGGACAGGGCCUGCCCGCUUCUCUGGGACGGGCCCGUGAGAGGCCGGUGCGCCCACCGGGACGCGCCCGUGGAAAAUGCCAGCGCAAAGCUUAGAGCAAAGUCGGUCUGUUACAAAAUCACAGAAUCAGCUAGGUUGGAAAAAACCUUUUGAGGCCGUCGAGUCCGACCUAUGACCGAGCACCACCAAGUCAUCCAGAGCGUUCCACCGAGUGCCAGAUGUUUUCUUAAACACCUCCGGGGGCGGUGACUCCAUCACUUUCCUCGGCAAUCGAUUCUUCUAAUAAUCCUUUUUGUGAAGAAGUCCCUCUACACUUAGGCUUGUUGUAACCUCAGAACUGGCAGGACCUUUCAGGUCCGUAGGAAUGGUGGAUCUCUCAGAGCAAGCUGCAAGGUCAACAUGGUUAUCCUGAUUAAUCGAAAGUAGUGAAAAACAACCAGAAUAUGACCGAAGGACAAGGCCGCUUCAGUCCUUCGUGAAAUAUACCUCUUAUGUUAAAAGAAGUUACAGUUAUAUUCAUCUCUGAGAGUGAAAGACAUUUUUUAGUACUAAAAAAGCCUGAAAAUACAGGACUUUCUGGGCUGGGUUUUUUUUCUUGGAGGGGAUCAUACCUACAGAUGUAAGUUUGCUGUGCACAGAGACAUUUAUGUUAUUUUUUCAUUUGAACGCAGUAUUAUGCACUAACAAAAUUUGUGCAACUCUAUCUCCGAAUAUCUCUGUAGGGCACUAGUAUCUCUAGCAAUGUCUAAAAUGAUGCCUCCUCUUCUGCCUAGGGAAACAAAUUUCAUUUCACUGAACGUGAGUAGAAGAAAACAGAGGGAGUAGUUUGCCUUCUUCAUUAAACCUUUGAUGGGGUUAAAAUACUGUUUAGUGCUUACAAGAAAAAAGUGCAGUUGAAUGCAGUUUCUCAUUGUUACCUGCUUGCUAGUUCACUAUGAAGCAGAAAAGAUUGAUGACUUUACGUUGUUUUCAAAUGUGAUCUCUAAGACUCAUGCAGAGUAUUUGUUGAAGACAAAGUACAGCAAUAACUCUUGGAAGUAUCAAAUCAACACUCUCCUCAUCUGUUCUUUCAGGUUACAAUUCUCUGUGAGGCCACAAAGUGCCCUGGAGUGUGUUAAAGUAUUGCCAAAGCAUGCACCUCCCACAGCCCCUGGCUCAAGCAGUCCCAGCUUAUGGACUAAGAGUGCACAUGGAUAGUGUGAGAGCAUUAAUCUUCAUAGUGCUGUGGCUGUGGAAAGCUAUGCCUUGACAUCAUAGCUUUUUUUUUCAAAGACAGUAGCUAAGAACUUCUCUUUUGAUAGGUGAAAGUAAGGACACGGGCCUUUUUUAGAAUACUUAAUGUAGCAAUGUGUGAUCAAUACAUCAGCAUUUUGGCUUUAUUAAGGUGCUCCGGCACAGUAUUUCCAGUACAUGCUUAUCUUGCAUGGGAGCAUCUCAAAGCACCUGUAAAUUUGCUGGCGUGUUCUACCUGGGAGGAAGAAUCUUUUAAUUACUGAGGUUUAAGUAAGCUUUUCUGCACUUUCUUCCUGCCUUUCAUAUUUUGGGCUAUGUCUUAAGGUUACUGUUAGCUAGUAACAAAAACCCUGGUACUAUGACAACAACCUCUAAGAGAAAAGGAAAACCUGUAAAUUCCCUCACCUGUUUUUUAAGUUGCUGAUGCAAUAUCUAGGCAGCACAAACAUCUGAAGAAAAAAAAAAUAGUCUUUUUGCUGUGUGGUAGUGUAUUUUCUCUAUUUCACAGUGGUACCAUUGUGAAAUAGAGAAUCACUCCUGAUUUGAGGAGUUGACAUCUAUUUGAGUUACAAAUUUGUCUUCCAUGACACCUCUGGGUCCCUGUUUCAGUGUGGUGCCAGUCAUGGUGAAAAAUUUUUCCACAAUAUACCCUGAAUUUCCUGUAUUGCAAUGAAUGUACUUGUCUUGUGUGAUCAUUGUGUUUUUCCAGGGAGGCUGCAUCUGUUAUAGAUGGGUCGUAUGAUGAUUGGCUCUUGCAGUUAAGAGAUUAAUAUUUUGUGUAUGUUAAGAGAAGUUUCACUGGGGUCAUUGUUUGUUGUUUGGCAGUCCGGUGUUCUCCCCAUAGUCCCGUUCCCCGCUCUGCACUGAUGUCACCGGACAGCCUUGGCUGGUGGGGAAGGCUUGUUACCAGGGGGGCGGGGCAUGACAGCACCUGACCUCCAAUCAAGUAGCAAGGAUGUAGUCUCCACCAAUGGAUCAUGAGGAAGAAGUUGAGUGACAGACUCUGGGAGGGGCCAAAUGCCUGAUGCACCGGCAGGGGUAUAAAAGGUGGAGCAGCCAUUUUGUAGACAGGCACAUGGUUGUCAGUCAUAUGUUCAAAGAGCUCUGCCCUUUUUCUUCACUAUUUUGUUAUAUUUGUAAAGGUUUAAUAAACCUUGAAAAUUUUAGAAGUGAA